Molecule: long non-coding RNA, 535 nt
Filed under: Jatropha curcas
Lineage: Eukaryota; Viridiplantae; Streptophyta; Magnoliopsida; Malpighiales; Euphorbiaceae
Description: long non-coding RNA (JCUR_LNC001856)
Source: RNAcentral
UUUGGUGUAGGAGCACUACUAAAUGAUCUGUUUCUAGGAUGAUUAUCAGGUGAAAUUUCAGGAGCCCUUGGAUGGAUGAUUGGUGAAAUUUCAGGUGCGCUUGAGUUGAUAACUGGUGAAGUUUCAGGUGUACUCGGGUGGACAACUGGUGACUUAUGCGGCAAAUUCUUUGAAGGAGCUGUAUCUGGAACCAGGUAUAGUGAAAUACCAUUGCUUUAGGACAAAAAUAAACCUGAAAUUGUUAAGCACAACAAAAUCCAGUGAGUUAUGAAUGUAGUGCACCUGGAACAGAUGCAGAAGGCUGUGCAAUUGUUUCAUUUCUCUGAGAAGCAUUUGGUGGCACAGGUUGUUCAUUUCCUUCAGCAGUCAAGGGGGGAGGUACUGUGUUAUAUGGUGAAAUUUCAGGAGCCCUUGGAUGGAUGAUUGGUGAAAUUUCAGGUGCGCUUGAGUUGAUAACUGGUGAAGUUUCAGGUGUACUCGGGUGGACAACUGGUGACUUAUGCGGCAAAUUCUUUGAAGGAGCUGUAUCUGGAAC